Molecule: ribosomal RNA, 449 nt
Filed under: uncultured bacterium
Lineage: Bacteria
Description: partial 16S ribosomal RNA
Rfam family: Bacterial small subunit ribosomal RNA
Source: RNAcentral
AGCGAACGCUGGCGGCAGGCCUAACACAUGCAAGUCGAACGGACCCUUCGGGGUUAGUGGCGGACGGGUGAGUAACACGUGGGAACGUGCCUUUAGGUUCGGAAUAGCUCCUGGAAACGGGUGGUAAUGCCGAAUGUGCCCUUCGGGGGAAAGAUUUAUCGCCUUUAGAGCGGCCCGCGUCUGAUUAGCUAGUUGGUGAGGUAAUGGCUCACCAAGGCGACGAUCAGUAGCUGGUCUGAGAGGAUGACCAGCCACAUUGGGACUGAGACACGGCCCAAACUCCUACGGGAGGCAGCAGUGGGGAAUCUUGCGCAAUGGGCGGAAGCCUGACGCAGCCAUGCCGCGUGGAUGAUGAAGGUCUUAGGAUUGUAAAAUCCUUUCACCGGUGAAGAUAAUGACUGUAGCCGGAGAAGAAGCCCCGGCUAACUUCGUGCCAGCCGCCGCGGUAA